Molecule: ribosomal RNA, 467 nt
Filed under: uncultured bacterium
Lineage: Bacteria
Description: partial 16S ribosomal RNA
Rfam family: Bacterial small subunit ribosomal RNA
Source: RNAcentral
ACGCACGCUGGCGGCGUGCCUCACACAUGCAAGUCGCACGGAAAGGCCCUGCUUUUGUGGGGUGCUCGAGUGGCGAACGGGUGAGUAACACGUGAGUAACCUGCCCUUGACUUUGGGAUAACUUCAGGAAACUGGGGCUAAUACCGGAUAGGAGCUCCUGCUGCAUGGUGGGGGUUGGAAAGUUUCGGUGGUUGGGGAUGGACUCGCGGCUUAUCAGCUUGUUGGUGGGGUAGUGGCUUACCAAGGCUUUGACGGGUAGCCGGCCUGAGAGGGUGACCGGCCACAUUGGGACUGAGAUACGGCCCAGACUCCUACGGGAGGCAGCAGUGGGGAAUAUUGCACAAUGGGCGGAAGCCUGAUGCAGCAACGCCGCGUGCGGGAUGACGGCCUUCGGGUUGUAAACCGCUUUCGCCUGUGACGAAGCGUGAGUGACGGUAAUGGGUAAAGAAGCACCGGCUAACUACGUG